This is a non-coding RNA of Paramuricea clavata, 517 nucleotides long. The record is from the annotation of a GenBank genome assembly. NCBI's taxonomy places the organism in Eukaryota, Metazoa, Cnidaria, Anthozoa, Malacalcyonacea, Plexauridae.
GCCGAUUCAUUAUUAACUGGAAAACCAUUAACAGCAACGUAUUUGUGUCAUGCAAAGAUAAAACCCCGAAAACUUAUCAAAGCUCUGUCGUCUAUGAAUUUACUUGCCCUGGAUGUAAUAGUAGGUACAUCGGCAAAACUGACCGCUGCUUAUACACCAGAACUAAGGAACAUUCAUAUCACACUGAAUCUGUAAUCCAUCAACACCUCUCUACUUGCGAACAGUUUCAACAUAUUAAAGCCCUUUUAGAACUAUAUCCCGACGAUGACGCAAAGUCUAAUCAAACGAGUAUAAUGGCUGAACAUGUUUUCCACAAUACUAAAGUUAUUGAUAAAUCUAACCAUUGGUCCCUUUUGCUGUAUCAAGAAUCCCUCGCUAUUCAAAGAUAUAAACCUGAACUUAAUCAUGGACUUAAAGCUUCUAAAGAACUAAUCAUAUUUAAUUAAUUCGUUAAUAAUCAACCUAAUGACUGUAUCAUAUUUCUUCAUAUAAAUACUUCUUUUGAUGUAUAACCUAG